ACGAACGCUGGCGGCAUGCCUAACACAUGCAAGUCGAACGAGACCUUCGGGUCUAGUGGCGCCCGGGUGCGUAACGCGUGGGAAUCUACCCUCAGGUUCGGAAUAACUCAGAGAAAUUUGAGCUAAUACCGGAUGAUGACGUAAGUCCAAAGAUUUAUCGCCUGAGGAUGAGCCCGCGUAGGAUUAGGUAGUUGGUGAGGUAAAGGCUCACCAAGCCGACGAUCCUUAGCUGGUCUGAGAGGAUGAUCAGCCACACUGGGACUGAGACACGGCCCAGACUCCUACGGGAGGCAGCAGUGGGGAAUAUUGGACAAUGGGCGAAAGCCUGAUCCAGCAAUGCCGCGUGAGUGAUGAAGGCCUUAGGGUUGUAAAGCUCUUUUACCCGGGAUGAUAAUGACAGUACCGGGAGAAUAAGCUCCGGCUAACUCCGUG
This 432-nucleotide ribosomal RNA is filed under the name uncultured bacterium. RNAcentral's name for it is "partial 16S ribosomal RNA". It matches the Rfam family "Bacterial small subunit ribosomal RNA", at positions 29 to 507 of the family's 1533-position model. The record is from RNAcentral.